CAAGUAGCUGGGACUACAGGAACCUGCCACUACACCCAGCCUCAACUGAAUAGCAGAGAGAUUUUGGCUUUCAUUCCAGAAUGAUGUCUCACAGAAAGUCAACUCGUGUUCCAGGGCACGAGUAAAGAUAUCAACCCAUCUAUCUGUAGAAAAUUGCCAGAAACUGUCACAAAAUAAAAAAUGAGAGAAGGCCUGAAUUACGACAGUCCUGGUGGGGUUCUACAAGGCAGCAUGAGGGAGAGGAGAGAGGACUAUUUUACCAAGAUUUUAAGACUUUCAAACAACCAGGGAAGGCUUCUGUGGACAGGCUGUCUCUGCACUAGGACUAAAGAACCAGAACUGUUCAGAAAGAGAGAAGAGCCCAGCACCUUAUACUCAGGAGAUACUGAAAAACAUCAUAUAAGGUGUUUACUGUUGAGAGAAAAGUACACAUCAGAGGAUGCCCAUUAUUGAUAUAGAGCCUUCUCUGUAUCUGGAUGAACGUGACCAGGAAGCCACCCUCAGCCUGCUGCAGCUGUUUUCAGAAUCUGUGGGAUCACACCCCAGAGGCAGUUGGGUCAGCCGCAGGCAUCAGGUGAGGAGGAGGAAGAGUGAGACAGCUAUUACAGGCUGCCGGACCAGGUGGCUGUGAAGAGGUGUGGGGACACCAAGGCUUAUAUAAGGAGGAUGGAGAACACAGGCCAAAGGGGAGGCUGUAAUGCUGACUUCGAUUGGCUAACUUAAUAUAAGGCAGACUGAGGGAGGAGGAGGAGGGCAGGAGAGAACACGCUUUAGAAAGCAUGACGGUGUCUCAUUCUGUUUGCAAGUGAGCACGUAGGUGCCUUCCAAAUAUGAUCCUGAAGAAGGUGCAGAUAAAUGAAAAAUUGGA
RNAcentral lists this long non-coding RNA (868 nucleotides) under Homo sapiens (human). RNAcentral describes it as "HSALNT0381574". The record is from RNAcentral. Lineage: Eukaryota; Metazoa; Chordata; Mammalia; Primates; Hominidae.